RNAcentral lists this ribosomal RNA (105 nucleotides) under uncultured bacterium. RNAcentral describes it as "partial 16S ribosomal RNA". It matches the Rfam family "Bacterial small subunit ribosomal RNA", at positions 387 to 508 of the family's 1533-position model. The record is from RNAcentral.
CGGAGCGACACCGCGUGUGGGAGUGAAGUCUUUCGGGAUGUAACCACUGUCGGAGGGAAGACAAAAAGACGGUACCCUCCAAGAAAGCCCCGGCUAACUACGUGC